Molecule: ribosomal RNA, 154 nt
Filed under: Barleria kitchingii
Lineage: Eukaryota; Viridiplantae; Streptophyta; Magnoliopsida; Lamiales; Acanthaceae
Description: 5.8S ribosomal RNA
Rfam family: 5.8S ribosomal RNA (bases 1-79)
About the family: 5.8S ribosomal RNA (5.8S rRNA) is a component of the large subunit of the eukaryotic ribosome. It is transcribed by RNA polymerase I as part of the 45S precursor that also contains 18S and 28S rRNA.
Source: RNAcentral
AAUCCCGUGAACCAUCGAGUCUUUGAACGCAAGUUGCGCCCGAAGCCUUCGGGCCGAGGGCACGCCUGCCUGGGCGUCACGCAUCGCGUCGCCCCCCGCCCCGGCGGGGUGUGCGGAUACUGGCCUCCCGUGCGCCUCGGCGCGCGGCCGGCCC